AAAGGUGAAAAGAACCCCGGGAGGGGAGUGAAAUAGAACCUGAAACCCUGCACUUACAAGCUGUGGAAGCACAUUUCUUGUGUGACCGCGUACUUUUUGUAGAACGGGCCAACGAGUUACGUUAAGUAGCAAGGUUAAGCACUUAAGGUGUGGAGCCGUAGCGAAAGCGAGUUUUAACUGAGCGUUCAGUUACUUGACGUAGACCCGAAACCGGGCGACCUACCCAUGAGCAGGAUGAAGCGAAAGUAAAAUUUCGUGGAGGUCCGAACCCACGAGCGUUGAAAAGCUCGGGGAUGACUUGUGGGUAGCGGUGAAAUUCCAAUCGAGCCCGGAGAUAGCUGGUUCUCCCCGAAAUAGCUUUAGGGCUAGCCUCAAGGUGAGAGAUACGGAGGUAGAGCACUGAAUGUCCUAGGGGGUAUUGCACCUACCGAAGACUAUCAAACUCCGAAUGCCGUCAUCUUAUACUUGGGAGUCAGACUGUGGGUGAUAAGAUUCAUAGUCGAAAGGGCAACAGCCCAGAUCGUCAGCUAAGGUCCCUAAAUGUAAGUUAAGUGGUAAAGGAUGUGGGAUUGCACAGACAACCAGGAUGUUGGCUUAGAAGCAGCCACUCAUUCAAAGAGUGCGUAAUAGCUCACUGGUCGAGUGAUCCUGCGCCGAAGAUUUCCGGGGCUAAAACUUACUACCGAAGCUACGGCAUCAGUAAUGAUGGGUAGGGGAGCUUCCCAUACGGGUUGAAGCAUGACCGUAAGGACAUGUGGACAGUAUGGGAGUGAGAAUGUUGGCAUGAGUAGCGAGAUGUGGGUGAGAAUCCCACAGGCCGUAAACCCAAGGUUUCCAGGGGAAGGUUCGUCCGCCCUGGGUUAGUCGGGACCUAAGCUGAGGCCGAAAGGCGUAGGUGAUGGACAACAGGUUGAUAUUCCUGUACUACCGAUAACCGUUUGAGAGAAGGGAUGACACAGUAGGAUAAGCUAAGCACACUGUUGGUUAUGUGUGCCCAAGCAUUGAGGCAGUCAAAGUAGGCAAAUCCGCUUUGAUAAUGCUAGGAUGUGAUGGGGAGCGAAAUUUAGUAGCGAAGUAGCUGAUUUCACACUGUCAAGAAAAGUCUCUAUCGAGGUUAAAGGUACCCGUACCGCAAACCGACACAGGUGGGUGAGGAGAGUAUCCUAAGGCCAGCGAGAGAACUGUUGUUAAGGAACUCGGCAAAAUGACCCCGUAACUUAGGGAUAAGGGGUGCCACCAUCAGGUGGCCGCAGAGAAUAGGCCCAAGCGACUGUUUACCAAAAACAUAGGUUUCUGCUAAGUCGCAAGACGAUGUAUAGGAGCUGACGCCUGCCCGGUGCUGGAAGGUUAAGGGGAUCUGUUAGAGCAAUCGAAGCAGUGAACUUAAGCCCCAGUAAACGGCGGCCGUAACUAUAACGGUCCUAAGGUAGCGAAAUUCCUUGUCGGGUAAGUUCCGACCCGCACGAAAGGCGUAACGAUUUGGGCACUGUCUCAACAACAGACUCGGUGAAAUUGUAAUUCCGGUGAAGAUGCCGGAUACCUGCGACAGGACGGAAAGACCCCAUGGAGCUUUACUGUAGCUUGACAUUGGGUCUUGGUACUACAUGUACAGGAUAGGUGGGAGGCUUUGAAACCAGGACGCCAGUUUUGGCGGAGCCAUCCUUGGGAUACCACCCUUGUAGUACUGGGACUCUAACCAUAGGCCAUGAAUCUGGUCUUGGGACACUGUCAGGUGGGCAGUUUGACUGGGGCGGUCGCCUCCCAAAAGGUAACGGAGGCGCUCAAAGGUUCUCUCAGUACGGUCGGAAAUCGUACGUAGAGUGUAAAGGCAAAAGAGAGCUUGAUUGCAAGACAUACAGGUCGAGCAAGGAUGAAAAUCGGACUUAGUGAUCCGGUGGUUCUGCGUGGAAGGGCCAUCGCUCAACGGAUAAAAGCUACCCUGGGGAUAACAGGCUUAUCUCCCCCAAGAGUCCACAUCGACGGGGAGGUUUGGCACCUCGAUGUCGGCUCAUCACAUCCUGGGGCUGUAGUAGGUCCCAAGGGUUGGGCUGUUCGCCCAUUAAAGUGGUACGCGAGCUGGG
This 2081-nucleotide ribosomal RNA is filed under the name Clostridioides difficile. RNAcentral's name for it is "bacterial LSU rRNA". It matches the Rfam family "Bacterial large subunit ribosomal RNA", at positions 510 to 2609 of the family's 2925-position model. Lineage: Bacteria; Bacillati; Bacillota; Clostridia; Peptostreptococcales; Peptostreptococcaceae. The record is from RNAcentral.